AGGAUCCGAAGAAACCUUCCGCGCACAUUGACUCCACUAAUCGAGGAGAUGUCACUUAUAAAGUAAACGAAGUUGUUAAAGAUUGGAAUCUCAAGUCUGCCUACAGCCAUCUUGCAGGCGGUAUGAAGUACCAUGACGGGAAACUGACAGUGCCCAUCUCUGGACGGUACUACAUCUACGAACAAAUUUACUAUCGCGGGUAUAGAGGGAAACCCGUAAGGAUUUCUCUCCUUGUUAACAACAAAAUCGUCGCUAUGGUCCACCCAACACACGACACGAAACGCAGACUUUGCACAUUCGACAGGCGGGGUGUUCUACCUUAAAGCUGGAGAUGUCAUUACGGUGGCGGCCACACAUUGGGCUGGGAUAGCUUUCAUGCACACGCACCACAGUUUCUUUGGCGCAUUUUUGAUCUGAACGCCUUGUCAAGCUCCCGUCCUGGAUAACUCCUUUGGAAAAAAUACGUGGAUAGAGGGAGGUUACUGAAUCGCUAUCACUAGUAGCUGCAUCGGUUCGCAAAAUGAUUUCUGGCUAUUAUACAAGGGUGUAAAUUUAUGGUUUACAGAAAAAUAAAGGAUUAUAAAAGAGGGCAAUCUGUGAUUUGUUUGUUUGUUUGUUUGUUUGUUUUUACCAUUACCGAACAACAAUUUAGAGAGCGAUACUUACUAACCUUCUCCGCAAUACCCUGUACCGUAUUUUCUCGAUUAAACGUCCCCGGGCUCACGGAUCAGGCGUUUAUGGACUUUUGCAGUUUAUUCGAGCCUGAAGUUUAUUAGAGUUUUUAUUCAUUAUUUUUAGGGCUUUAAGAUAUCUUGUAGUUAUAUGUAAACCUUAUUUUGACUCGAAUAUAAAUUCCUUGAGGGUCUUAUUUACGAAAUCUACGUGGGGGAUCUGGCGUUUAAUCGAGAAAAUAUGAAAUAUGGUAUUUUUCCUUUCCUCGCAAUUUACCCGUCAAUGUCCCCGUCGUCCAACCAAACAUCAUCGUCUACUAGCCGCGAAAAAAUUACCCGUGAGAGCUAGAGCAAAGCAUGCUUACAGAAUUCUAACCGCCAGACCACCAUUAGCCUACUAAAAGAAGAUUGGAGCAAAAAUGGAAGCGAUUUGAUAUACAUUCCUGCAUGUCGCUUCCCUGUCAAUAACUUUUUUUCUGAUAGUACCGAAGCCUUCGGUACUAUCAGAGUUAUUCGAUCGGUCGCUGAUCCAAACUAUCCCGGCGACGCCUGUUCCAGUCAAAAUACUUCAUAAUUCUAUCAAUGACAAAUAAUUUAGACCUGGUGAUCUUUGAGUAUAGUGCUGAAUGUUAUUCUGAUGAUAAUAGAAUUAGGUAGAAUUUUAUAACUCGCUCACCUAGUCAAGCAAUUAAGCACUGGCGAUUUUAUACGUUUCCUAUUGAAUAAACGUACUACGAAGAUACCAGUAAGGAUAUGCUUUGUGCUCUCAGAUCAGAGUAGUUUUUAUUUGAGUCUGCUACACUACACGAUUGGCUUAAAAAACUCGCGUCAUUUUUUUCCCAUCAGGGCCUUAUUGUUCAGAGCCCGAUUAAGAGAACCCAGGAUUAGCGAAAAUUUUGAUUUCAAUUUUUAAACUUUUCGGUAAGGUUUUUGGUUUACAUUGUUGGCCCUUCUGUUUUUAGUUUCAGUCAACACAAACAACGCAAAACAUAAGCAUUGAAAAACAAUUUUUUCAAUAAAAAUUAAUACUUCGGUUAACUUUUAAUCCUGGGUUAGCAUUAACAAUUUGGCAUAAAUUUCACUGUUCUCGGAACUUGAUGUUUCUAUGGCCGUUUAUUAACUUUCAUGCGGUUAAUUUUACUUUUUUAGUCUUAUUUUUAGCAUUGUUUAAUUGAUUUUGUUUACUUUUGAGUAACUAUUGGCGCUUUGGAAAAUCAAAAAAUUCAAGAUAGUUGACCUAGAAUGGUGCUAUUCGGAUAACGGGACGUCUUUAUCCUAUGUUGCUUACAGCAAAACAGAGAUCUUUUGACCUCUUAUAUACCGUGUGAGUCUCGUUGUCCUUGCGUAAAUAUUUUUGACGUUACGAAGGGAGGGGGGAGGAGGGUAAGGGUGAAUCUGUCCCAGCCCUGGUCGUAAGAGAUUAAAAAAGCCCGGUCUGAAAAACCAAGUGCGCAGAACCUACUGUGGAAUAUCGGCACGAGGUAUUGACAGACGAGGGGUUGAUAUUGUCGCAGUACACUCCCAAGCACGUUCGGCUGGCUAAUAAGAGAUUUAUUACAUGACUGAUAAUGUUAGAAAAGAAUCCCACCAUAACAAACUGUGAAGACAACAUAAAAUGUAAUAGCGCAACUCUGUUUGAGAGCCUGACGUUUUC
This 2325-nucleotide long non-coding RNA is filed under the name Orbicella faveolata. RNAcentral's name for it is "uncharacterized LOC110065066". The record is from RNAcentral. Lineage: Eukaryota; Metazoa; Cnidaria; Anthozoa; Scleractinia; Merulinidae.